AACGAACGCUGGCGGCAUGCCUAACACAUGCAAGUCGAACGAGACCUUCGGGUCUAGUGGCGCACGGGUGCGUAACGCGUGGGAACCUGCCCUUAGGUUCGGAAUAACUCCCCGAAAGGGGUGCUAAUACCGGAUAAUGUCUUCGGACCAAAGAUUUAUCGCCUUUGGAUGGGCCCGCGUUGGAUUAGCUAGUUGGUAGGGUAAAAGCCUACCAAGGCGACGAUCCAUAGCUGGUCUGAGAGGAUGAUCAGCCACACUGGGACUGAGACACGGCCCAGACUCCUACGGGAGGCAGCAGUGGGGAAUAUUGGACCAUGGGCGAAAGCCUGAUCCAGCAAUGCCGCGUGAGUGAUGAAGGCCUUAGGGUUGCAAAGCUCUUUUACCCGGGAUGAUAAUGACAGUACCGGGAGAAUAAGCUCCGGCUAACUCCGUG
Molecule: ribosomal RNA, 433 nt
Filed under: uncultured bacterium
Lineage: Bacteria
Description: partial 16S ribosomal RNA
Rfam family: Bacterial small subunit ribosomal RNA
Source: RNAcentral